AUUGAACGCUGGCGGCAUGCUUUACACAUGCAAGUCGGACGGCAGCGGGGUAGUGCUUGCACUACUGCCGGCGAGUGGCGAACGGGUGAGUAAUAUAUUGGAACGUACCGAGUAAUGGGGGAUAACCAAUCGAAAGAUUGGCUAAUACCGCAUACGCUCUGAGGAGGAAAGCAGGGGACCUUCGGGCCUUGCGUUAUUCGAGCGGCCAAUAUCUGAUUAGCUAGUUGGUGGGGUAAGGGCCUACCAAGGCGACGAUCAGUAGCGGGUCUGAGAGGAUGAUCCGCCACACUGGGACUGAGACACGGCCCAGACUCCUACGGGAGGCAGCAGUCGGGAAUUUUGGACAAUGGGCGCAAGCCUGAUCCAGCCAUGCCGCGUGUCUGAAGAAGGCCUUCGGGUUGUAAAGGACUUUUGUUAGGGAAGAAAAAGGAGCGGUUAAUACCCGUUUCUGCUGACGGUACCUAAAGAAUAAGCACCGGCUAACUACGUG
Molecule: ribosomal RNA, 490 nt
Filed under: uncultured bacterium
Lineage: Bacteria
Description: partial 16S ribosomal RNA
Rfam family: Bacterial small subunit ribosomal RNA
Source: RNAcentral